CGCGUUUUGGAUCGACUUUGUGUUCUAGUUGUGUUCAAAUUGUAAACUAUAAUUCUCAGCAAAUUCCAAUCCAAUGGAGAAACGGGAAGAAGAGUACGAAACUCUUUGGGAGUUCUUAAGGAAAAUUAAAAUGGAAUCUGUGUUUGACGACUUGAAAGCUGCAGAAGUCACAUACGAUCGAUUGAAAUUUUUAAACAGUGAGGAUGUCAAAGAUGCCAUACGUUUGGUAGGCCCACGCGCCGAAUUUCGUGAAAAACUUUUAAUGAUGAAACGGACAGAGGUAAAUAAAUUUUGGAAACAUUAAAGGAUACAUAGAUCUUAGAGUACAGCACAAAAAUUUGGAACAACUUAUAAAUAGAUCUCCUGAGGGCCUGACUGUGCUUCAGUCUUUCAAAGCAAAAAAUUGCCUAAGCAAAGAACAGAGACAGUUUUUGGUCAAACUUCUUGUAGGUGAAGUUGAUAACAAUAGGAAUGCCAUCAAAAUGCAAACAUUAUGCACUUUACUUGACGAAAUAGUAGCUUUAUUUCCCUCCGAAGAAUCCAGGAAGAUUUUUGGAGCCUUGGAAGUGCAUCCUCUAUUUUUUGGCCCUAAUGGAAUUCCAAAGCAUUUGCAUAACGAUCUAUACUAAAUAAGUUUUCACACCAUUACAAAGUACAUUAAAUCAUAAUUAAUCUCAUAAAUGCUUAAA
RNA transcript from Drosophila persimilis, 689 nucleotides. RefSeq lists it as uncharacterized. The record is from RefSeq and is a predicted model, not a curated record. NCBI's taxonomy places the organism in Eukaryota, Metazoa, Arthropoda, Insecta, Diptera, Drosophilidae. The transcript is spliced from 5 exons.